This 1308-nucleotide long non-coding RNA is filed under the name Salvia miltiorrhiza (redroot sage). RNAcentral describes it as "long non-coding RNA (SMIL_LNC006956)". Lineage: Eukaryota; Viridiplantae; Streptophyta; Magnoliopsida; Lamiales; Lamiaceae. The record is from RNAcentral.
UUGUGCAUUAGGAGAGGAUCUCGGCAUACUCAGCACCUUCUCUUGUGCCAAAAUGAAUGUCUUUGGAUCAGAUGCACCCUGGCUUAGUCGAAUAACCAUCUUUUCAAGAAUGAGAGCGUUUUCCAACAGAAUUUGUAAGGCCGGAAUUAUUGAAGGGUCGCGCAUAGACCAAGUAGCCUCAAAUGUCUUUAGAUGGAGAAGAGAGGGACUGGGAAAACUCAUCUUAGCAUACGCCAAUGUAUCAACCAUAGCAUUGUGAACCUCUUCACUAUCGUCAAAACGAGGAGCCUGCCAUGUCUUAUUAGCCCAAAAUACGAUGUUAAUAUUAAUCCAAAAAUCCCAAACAUUGAAUUGAAGUUUAUGAACGAAAGUGAAUAGAUAAUAGAAUUGACGACUAGGAAAGAAAAAGUCAUCUUAGCAGACGCCAAUGAAUUACAUUCAUUAACCAUAGCAAAGUGAAUCACUUCACCGGAGGUGCCAUCAUUAAUACUCUGCAAUGUAUUAUUAGCCGAAAAGACGAUGUUAAUGUUAAUCCAAAAAUCCCAAACAUUGAAUUGAAGCCUAGGAAGUGAAUUGAAGACUAGGAAAUAAAAAUCCCCCAACAUAAAUUUAAUGAUUUGAUGAUCGAUGUGCAAAGUAAAGACUAAUCUAUAACUCCUCUUACUUAGUUAAAGAGCUUCAAAUGAUAAAAUAUACAAUAAGUGAAUAAAAGAGAGACCUGGAGGCUGCCUUGAUCAACGAUUAACCUCUCUAGCUUGGGAAACAUCAUCCCAACCAAAUCAAGCAUAUCUUCGGCACCUAUAGUGUCGAGCUCUAGAAUCUUAGAAUUCAACAACGGCAUAACCAUAUCUUCAUUCUUUAAUUUGAAAAGCAUCUGCCAAAGUAAAACAAAGAGUAUUUUGGAAGAGGGCAGAAAUGUAGUAAAAGUGUAAUACAACAAAUGACUACAAAACAAUGAACAAUUAAGAAACAUAACUAGAGAAAUAUAAGAAAAUCAAACCUCAAUGCAGCAAUGUGAUAACGUGACCUUCUCAACAUUGCGGAUGCUUAGAAAAACAUGAUUAACCAAUUUAAAUCGUGCUGCUACAUCUCCAUCGUGCACCAAAGAAAGAAUUGCAUGAGUCAAAGACGGGGCAUCCAACAAACAAGUACCAUAAAAACGAGCCUCAAGAACAAAAUUCAAGAGAUUAGGAGCCCAAAUUCUCAGCACUGUAGUUUCAUGCCAAAUAUAACCCGUUUGUAUCUUGAGUAUCUUCAAACUAGUAGAUCGGAUAUUGAAGUUUUCGUUUUCACCAAUUUUGAAAGACU